UGACGGGUCGUCCAAUGGCAGGACACGGGACUUUGGAUCCCGUUAUCUAGGUUCGAAUCCUAGCCCGUCAGCCA
This 74-nucleotide transfer RNA is filed under the name Thermodesulfobacteriota bacterium. Its description in RNAcentral is "tRNA-Gln". It matches the Rfam family "tRNA". Rfam says of the family: Transfer RNA (tRNA) molecules are approximately 80 nucleotides in length. Lineage: Bacteria; Pseudomonadati; Thermodesulfobacteriota. RNAcentral also lists the same sequence under 1 other name. The record is from RNAcentral.